UACGGAGGGGGGCUAGCGUUGUUCGGAAUUACUGGGCGUAAAGCGCACGUAGGCGGCUUUGUAAGUUAGAGGUGAAAGCCCAGGGCUUAACCCUGGAAUUGCCUUUAAGACUGCAUCGCUAGAAUCGUGGAGAGGUGAGUGGAAUUCCGAGUGUAGAGGUGAAAUUCGUAGAUAUUCGGAAGAACACCAGUGGCGAAGGCGACUCACUGGACACGUAUUGACGCUGAGGCGCGAAAGCGUGGGGAGCAAACAGGG
Molecule: ribosomal RNA, 255 nt
Filed under: uncultured bacterium
Lineage: Bacteria
Description: partial 16S ribosomal RNA
Rfam family: Bacterial small subunit ribosomal RNA
Source: RNAcentral